UGAUAAAACUGACGAAAAAUUGAAUAACGGCCAGCUCAUUUAUAUCUUAAUACGCAGAACAUGAAAUAUAUUUGGGAAACCUCUUUAUGGGAGAUCAGUUUUGAUUAUUAAUCGACACACAUUAUAUUUCUUCAAACAUUACUACUUUAAUUUUGUGUUUUGCCUAUUAAAGAACAGAGUCACGAUAAUUUUAUGCUCAGAAACAAUCAAAUCAGAUGCGGUUGGUUUGAGAUUUGUACCCGUAACUUGAACAUUGUACUGUUUUACAUAAUCUACAAUAAAAUAACAUUAUAAGCAAAAUUUAACUAGAAAAAUAUUUAUUAAUUUUCACAGUGAUACAACGCAUUCAGUAUUUUCAACGUUUUGUGAUAUUGUUAUAAUUAUACGUGCUAGGAGUAAGUUUCUUUCACUUGGAAUGAUGGGCCUCCGUGGCCGAGUGAUUAAGGUCGCUGACUUCAAAUCACUUGCCUCUCAACGUUGUGGAAUCGAGCCUCACUUUGGGCGUUGAAUUCUUCAUGCGAGGAAGCCAAACUAAUAUUGACAUACUUCACUGUCUACUUAAGGUUAAGAAGGUGUGAUAAUCGGAAAAUUUGUGUCCGUUCUGUAUCUCCUAAACGUCUUGAAGGAUUUUCACGAAACUUUGGGCAAAUAAUCACCUCAUCAAGACAAAGUACACAACUUAUAAGUCAGCCAUGUCGGCUCAAGCUUAAGGUCAAAGGGUCAAAGGUUUGAGCAUUCUAUUUUGUGAUUUUCAUGAAACUUAGGAAAAAUGAUUAACUCAUCAAGACAAUGUGCAAAACAUAUAAGUCAACCAUGUUGGCUCAUUGUCAAGGUGACUACUCAAGGUCAAAGGUUUAAGCCUUCCAUUUUGUGUCCCCUCUGUUUCUCCUAAACCCCUUUGAUUUUGAAAUUCAUUGAUGUCGUCAUACAUGGACUAUACAAUAUACUUAACAACGGCAAUGCUUCCACCCAAUACCAUCAACUCUUUAACUUUCCAUAAUAGCGGCGGUGGAUAUAGCUGUCUUUUAGACUGCCUUAUUCAAAUAUAAUAAACUUAUUUAUCAAUUUAUUAAAAAAAUCAUAAUGUUUAAGAAAGAAUUUAGCAAGUUUUUAUUUCAAGUUCUAUAUGGGACAAGCACAAAUUCAAAUUUGAUUUUUUAGAAAAAUGUGACAGUCUCUCAUAUUAUAUUCUAUUUACUGUUUUCAUUACGUAUUUCAAUUUUAAUAUAUCUUUUAAUAUCUUUGAUGGUAAAAUUUAGAUACGAUAUGACAUAACUGUUUAUUUGCGUAUGUAUGGCGCAAAAUGGUAUGUCGUCACGCUCCUGUCUCUAUACACGCCAGGAACGGAAAUGGUAAUACGUCUUGCGGAAUACUAAUAGUUCCAUUAGGGAAUUAUUCUGUACAGCUAAAAAUUAUCUCCGUGUGUGUAAAUUAGUUAAGACAGUAAUGACUGGUGACAUUGCGCUUUUAAACAUGUUUUAAGUAAAAUAUUUUAUCAAGUUUGAAAGCGCUAUUUGAAACUCAGUAUAGACAAAAACACAAUAAUACGAUUUUAUCCUGCCAAAUUAUAUUUCAAUGCAUGUAUCUGAUAAAAACAUUUUCCCAUUCCUUUUGUAAGUAUUGUAUAUACAUAAUGGUAUGAUCACUUUCAACAGUAUGAACUUUUUUAUAAUUAUGAUAUUGGCAGAUACUGUUUGUGAAUACAAAGAAACUAAACCUGUUGUUUGUUAUUAUCAUAAUUAGUAUCCUUUUUUAAUAACAAUCGUAAUCAUUAUAAUUAUUCUUACUAUUAUUAUUAUCAUUUUUCACUCAGAGAAGGAAAAUUAAUUUAUUUACACACCUUCAUGGCCUAGUGGGGCACCUGCACGGGCUAAUUGCCCUAUAAUUAGACACUGUUACAUAAUUGCUGAUAAGCAGAUAAGGCUGGAUUUGUUUAUUGUUGGAUUAUUUGCGGGAAGGUUGUGGGGGGUGCACUGAUACAGUAGUGGAUUUAGGCCUUUAACUAAAAUUAAAAUUUACCUACUUUUAGCGUUUGUAUAUAAAUAGUGUGUCCGCUUAUUCGAAAGAAGCAAAUACGCUAGUGUUUUACUGGUUGACAUACAAAAUAUCAUUGAGUCAAAAACAAAGAACGCUAGAGAUGGAAACAUAAAAAGAUUUAAAGAUGGCUUCAAGGAACACCAAGCUGAUAAACAAGAAAUUUCCUGUUUACUGAUAGUGACAAUACCUGUGUCCUAUCGAAGCCUCUUGUAGACAUGUUCGCUGAACAGGUCGGCUAUAGCCUAAAAGUCUGCAGCAAUUUGAAGACUAUAACAUGAAUCUUACAUCAAACGCUUAAGGUGGUGAGAGUGCCACUGAUCUUUGGAGAAAACACGCACGUAGAUAUUCAGACAAACUAAAUAGCAUCGUAUAUGUGGACAGAAACACUGACUGUGACAUCAAGUAUUUGAAGCACAAUGAUUAUAUUGUCUUUAAUACAAAAUCUGCAAAACGAAAGAUUGUAUUUUUCGAAAGAAAAAAUGAAACCAUUUUAACAUUCGUUCAAAACUCAACGAAAACUGAGGAAAGAUGUUCAAAAGUAUUUCUGACUUUACUCGUUAUCUCAAGGCUAGUAAGCAAACUCAAGAAGGUAAACUGUGAUACGGAACGAUUGGUAAAAUGAUAGAAGCUAUGUUCUUCCGGCGAGGCUACAACCUGUGGGUCAGGUUAAUAAUGAGCCAUAAGCCACAGAAUGAGAUAGCCAUUGAUCCACGUUCCUGGACAACUUAGAUUGUAGAAUGUGGAAAAGAUCUUGUAAUAGCGGUUGAAGAAUGGAAAGCAGAAAAUACUUCUUAUUCAGUUUAUGAGACGAUUAUGAUGAAUAAGGCAGUCCCAAGUGGUGUUGCUAUAGUAACUGUGCCUACAAAUUUGAUACUUUGUUUGUUCAUUAGUUACGUUAUAGAAUUUAUUUCAUAAGAUGUCCUCCCAUUCUUUACUUUGCAAUUAGUGAUUUGUCAACUUUCUUUACAUUGAACAUAUUCUUUUAUUGAUGAAAAUAGCAAGAUUCUCUUUACAUACAGCACUGCUGGUGGAACUUGUUAAAUUAAGCUUUAUUGAAGAACCGAAACUGGAUUCCUUUAAUACCCGUAACUGUAAUCCAAUACAUAGUUUACAUAGUUCAUGAAAAUAAUACACCUAAUUUCUUUUUAACAUGCUUACUUUAACACAAAACCAGUGAAAACUCUUUUGUUCAUAAUGUACGUGCAGGUGAAAGGUUAAAUUUGCGGAGACAAAACUAGUAUGUUGUAAGAUACAAGUAUUCUGCAUUUACAUGUGAAUAAAUAAGCACACAAAACAUUAUGUUAUUGGUAUGAAUAUAUUUACAUAUAGGUAUCUUACGGUGUUAGGGCGUAAAUACUUUGGAACGUUAAGUACAUUUUCGUGAGCAGUAUAAUUCUCUUUUCAACUCUAUUAUUUCAAACUGAACUGAUAUGAAGAUUAAAUGUAUUAGUUUUUGAUCCAGUUUUUACAGCGGUAAAUAUGUCCUUUUAAUAGAAAAUAAAAGCACGAAAUGUUAUCAAAAUACACGUGUCUAUUUUUAACUUUAAAAUUUGUGACUUCUUGUGAUAUCGUAAAGAAAAAGGAGUUAAUCUCAGAGUAGAUAAUAUUGAUAUUAAACUGUCAUCCUGAAUAUGUAAGCUUGUACAUAUUUCAUAAUAUAGUACCUUUGGAGACAUAUGCCACUUUUUGUAAUGCCAGAAUCUAGUAAUGUUAAAAUAUUAGUAAAUUACUGGUAAAUGAGAAAUGGUUUGAAUAGUUGGCAUGCAAAAUGAAAUAACAUGUCUGCCUUAGUAAGGUUUUCAAUUUCAUGUUUUCCCUCAGGUAUGAAAAAAACCUGUCUUUCACAGGCAGACAUGUAAGAUCCUUAUAAUGAUAUGUCCAUUUGUGUAUAUUUACGUUAAGGUAUCCGAUCCACAAAUACGCAACUUCUAUAUAAAUAAAUAUCAAAUAUUGAUGAUUGGCAAGCUGAUACAAAUUAGAUAUCAUGUCUACCUAAAAAGAAAAUAUAAAUUACAUGACCGUGGUAAAAAUAUCUAUAGAAUUUUUAUUAUUUUGCCUUAUAUUUUUCAAUGAUGCUUCAACAGAAAUCCAGCUAUUACUGUGUAUGAUUUAUCAUUUCGAAGUCAAAAAACAUGACUGUUAUGAAUUGUGAUCAUCCUUUUUACUAAUUUUUGUUCAGCAGACACAACUCGUUCAAAUGAUACCAACCGUGGGGUCAACAGGUAUCGAAAUGUAAUAUACUUGUUGAUCAAAUACAUUAAUAGUUUACAAUUUAAAGGCCGGGUGACUAGGUGCCCUCUAAUUCAUUACAUUUGUAUAUAAAUGUUUGUUAUUAUAAUAUACGCAAACAUAAGUCACUAUAUCAAAAGAUUAGAUCUAUCUUGUUUUUAAAGUCAGUGACAACGUAUUACACAAAUUUUACCACCGCUAUAGAGGCUGAAAUUAAGAAAUGUUAGUAGGCGUGUGUUUGUCAGUUUAUGUUAUAUUUUAAGGUUCUGUUAUAGAGAUAAAUUGAAAGGUUCUGAUUGCCAUGUACUAUAGCUUCAACUUUUAAAUUAAUGUAGACCUUUGUCUACGGUUCUUUAUAAAAUUAAAAUCUUCAGGCAAGGACAACGUUAGUCAACCCCAAAUUGGUAUCUAUUUUCAUUUUUAUGUGCAUGAAUACAUUUAUUUGACAAUACCGUAUUAAAUAAUAUACAUUUUCGACUUGUUCCGCUUUUCACUUUGAUAUUGAAACUUCAUUCAAGUAUAUCGUUUGGUUGGAGUUACUGUUAAAAAGGCAUAUUAAAGAAAAGUAACAAUCUGCAUGUUAUAUUGGUUGUCUGCUUCUUAUUGACUGUCACGGUUAUGUGACACGCAUUGAGAGAAUGUGUAGGCUAAAGGUCACUAAUACAAAUCCUUCUUUGUUCCAUAUAAAUACGACAAUUUUAGGGAUUAUUUGCGUAUCCUUAUAGAAUAUCACUUUUUCCUACAUCUGUGUUUCAUGACUGUCAUUUUAGUAUAAAAAGAACUUGCCCAAAAGUAUGCUUUGAUCCUUGCCAUCGUGAUAGUGUAAGACUUCCUUGCUUAAUAUUGAUUAUCUGAUAUCUAUAGUUUAAAAUGUACGAUAUUUGAUCAGUUAUAUGACGUAAAUUAUUCGUAGAUUUAGGUAAACAAAUAACAAAUGGAUUACCACAGUUAAGACACUUGUACGAGUGGAAUUAACAAAAAAAAUAAUCUGUGGCAUAUGCUUCAGAGAAAUGGUCCUUAAGACGUUUCACGAGCUACUGAAAGGCGAGAGAGGAUAUGCCUUGUAUUUAGCAGAUAUUUCACAGAUGUCUAUUCGCGAAGCAACGAAAACGUUAGUUGAAACCGUGAAUGAAAUUUUAAAUGAAUUUGAGGAUAAAACGGAUUACAUAGUUUCAAAGUUCGUCAUUGGCAAAACAUAUGCACCGCAAGUGCAAGAGGAAAAUGAAACAUAUCAGGAUUCCAAUGUAAGCACUUGGAAUGACGAAGGUGUGAUAUCAAGAUGGAAUACAAAGUAUAAAAAUGCGGGGUUCAACGGAAUGCUUGUACUAUGUGGGAUCACAUGUCAAACAGUCAAAGAAAUGAUUAGAUAUGAGGCUUCCAAUGAUUCUGAUUCGGAAAUUGUGAGCGAUAGCGAUAGCGAUGACGAUGACGACUGCGAGUUAUCAAACCAACAGGAUUAUACCCUAGCUCUAGAACAGCGACUAAUUCAUCAUUUUGCAUACGUCAAACACGACCACAGAUUGGGAAACGAGACAUUAUGUACAGGAAGACGUGGCCCACGAGAUGCGGCCGGCGUCGUUUACCUUGUGUAUAAAUUUUAACAAGCGGAAGAGUAAUCGAAAUUGGCAAAUCGAUAUUGCCUAACCUGCAAAAUACUACACAAAGCUAAUUUUAUUGUUCUCUUAUCAACUAUCUUAAUUAAUACACUCAUGUAAUGUCAGGAUUUGAAAGCAACGAUGUGCACGAAUCAACAGGCCGAUAUGUUUGCUAUGGGGGCGUGGGCAGUGUUGCAUUUUCCAUUACUGCUCAUGAACAGACUCAAUCAAACCGAGUCUGCAAUUUUUACUGUUUGCCUUGUUCUCGGUGCUUCCGAGGGAUCUACUUUCUAGAUUUUAUUUAUAUUUAUUUACAUUAAUUUGAAAGCAAACAGACAAAACUUAAACUUAUCAUAUGGGCAAUUUACACAAUUGUCUAAAUAUAAACAGUUAUUUGUUGACAAUUUUAAGGAGUUCACUGAAGAGUAUUUUGUUACUUUAUUCAUGUAAGCAUGGAUAUAUUCUACAUUGUUAAAAUGACAAAAUUUAGUUUGAUUAAACUAAAAAGGCAUGUCCUAUUGUCAUGUUUACUGCAAUACCACUUACAGUGUCGGAGAGAAUGUUCAUGCAAUUCUACAUCUAAAUAUGAUGCUGUGAUUGUAUUCAAGACAAAUCAAAAUAUACUUUCUUCAUUUAAUUCUUUCCAUUGUAUUAUUUUAUAUAUAUCAAUUUGCUGUGAAUGAAUUAAGACCAGUCAAAAUGUA
RNA transcript from Mercenaria mercenaria, 6565 nucleotides. RefSeq lists it as uncharacterized. The transcript has 3 exons. The record is from RefSeq and is a predicted model, not a curated record. Lineage: Eukaryota; Metazoa; Mollusca; Bivalvia; Venerida; Veneridae.